Panicum virgatum (switchgrass) is the source of this 889-nucleotide long non-coding RNA. RefSeq lists it as uncharacterized. The transcript is spliced from 3 exons. Lineage: Eukaryota; Viridiplantae; Streptophyta; Magnoliopsida; Poales; Poaceae. The record is from RefSeq and is a predicted model, not a curated record.
CUGCUAACUCACGCCUCCACACUGUCCAGAACCGAAUCAUCGAUCCAUUCUCUCUCCCUCUUCCCCUCCUCCCACCCCGCCAUUGCCUCCUCCAAUCUUCCAUGCCACCGCAUCCUACCCUUCCCUGCCCACCCCACCGCAGCCUCCUCCCCUCCUCCCCUCGCCCCCCUGCCUCCUCCCUCCGCGGCGGCGCAUGGGCCCGCACGCGAGGACACGACGGCGCGCGGUGAGGAACUCCCUUUGAGGUGAUGCGUGACGACACGCCGGCGCGGUGCGGCGCGGCGACUAUGAGGCAGCGAGCGGGACGAGGUGUGGUGGCUCGGAUGCGGCGGCGAGCGGGGCGUGGACCGGCGCACGGAUCCGCCGGGCUGCAGCGGGGGACUGCGAUGCUGCGGCACGCAGGGCAGUUUUCGCCUCAUGGAUCAUGGUUAUCACCACCGAGCCAGCAAAGAAUUCACCAUGAUUAUGCAGAAGAAGCUCCAAAAUAGUUUAUGUAAACUACCUUGGACGAACUGUUCUCCCAAUGGUUUGUUGCUCUUCUUUUCUGUUGGUCCUACCUCUUUUCUGAAGUGGAGCAAGAAAGAAAUCACAGCAUUUCUCAAUCUCUGUCUAAUGAUGUGAGGAGAAGACGCUGCUACAUGGGUGAACCACACACACAUGUAUGGGCAAGACUGAAGCAGCUACCCUAUGCUCACCCUCCUCCAAAUCAGGGUCUGAUUGGUCCCAAAUUUUGUUGAUGUUUGCUACUUUGUCGGGCAAUAAUCUGAAUCUAGAAUGUUUCAAUUUCACUAUAAAGAGUAAAAGGCUGCUAUGGUCUGGGUGCCUGCCCCUCCCACAUCUCCUGGGAGUAUGGCAUAUACCAUUAUAUUAUCCAUGCAAUUUUCAUCUG